Sinocyclocheilus anshuiensis is the source of this 2885-nucleotide RNA transcript. It is a transcript of the gene named lysosome membrane protein 2-like, with no coding region annotated. Lineage: Eukaryota; Metazoa; Chordata; Actinopteri; Cypriniformes; Cyprinidae. The record is from RefSeq and is a predicted model, not a curated record. The transcript is spliced from 13 exons.
GUUACAAACUCGAUGAUUUAUUUCUCUCUGAGUGCUGCUGCCGACACAUGCAAACACUCUUGAGUCCGGUUCAGCUGCUGUGUCUUUGUCCGUCCCUGUCAGAGCCGAACCGAACCGGAUCAUGCUCCGGUCCUGCUGUGUUUACGGCGCAGGAGUCCUCUGCGUUCUGCUGUUAAUCGCCGGGAUUGCGAUGGCUUUAACGCAGGUCUUCCAGAAGCUCAUAAACAACACAAUAAAAGAGCAAGUAGUUCUGGAAAAUGGAACGGAGGCGUUUUCGGUGUUUCAAAACCCACCGCCGCCGGUUUACAUGCAGUUUUACUUCUUUAAUCUGACCAAUCCUGCAGAGGUUCUGGAUGGAGACAAACCCUUCGUCCUGCAGAUCGGCCCGUACACGUACAGGGAGUAUCGGCCGAAGGAGGAAGUGAAAUUUCUGGACAACGGAACCAGAGUGGAGGCUGUUAAUCCGAAGACGUACGUGUUUGAGCCCAACAUGUCACGCGGAUCUGAGGACGACAUCGUCCGAACAGUCAACAUCCCCGCUGUGACCGUGAUGGAGAAAGCCAAAGGUAGAUGGUUUGAAAGCUUCGUCAGUGCCUUGAUGAAAUCAAACAACAUCGGUGUGUUUGGGACGUUCAGGGUCGGUGACCUGCUGUGGGGUUACGAAGAUCCGCUGCUUAAAUUAAUCAAAAAAUUAAUCACAAUGGAUGACCACUUCGGACUUUUCUAUAAGAAAAAUGGCACCGACGACGGUGAUUAUAUUUUCUUCACGGGGAAGCAGAAUUAUCAGGACUUUGCUCGUAUAGACAAGUGGAACGGACAGAGUACAUUGAACUGGUGGAGUACAGAAGGGUGUAACAGGAUCAACGGCACUGACGGAGCAUCUUUCCAUCCAGUCAUCACAAAAACAGAGAAACUCUAUAUAUUCUCCUCUGAUCUGUGCAGGUCUAUAUAUGCCCAGUACGAGUCUGACGUGAGCGUACGAGGGGUUCCCGGUUUCCGCUUUGUCCCACCCAGCGAGGUUUUCGCCAAUCUUACGAUUAACCCGGAUAACGCAGGCUUCUGUGUGCCGGCCGGGAACUGUCUCGGCUCCGGCCUCCUCAACGUCAGCGUCUGCCAAGAAGGUGCGCCCAUUAUCAUGUCCUCCCCUCAUUUCUACCAGGCAGAUGACAGAUUCGUCCAGGAUGUGUUCGGGAUGAAUCCCAACAAGGAGGAGCACGAGACGGUCAUUGACGUCAACCCGCUCACUGGAAUGUUGCUUCGGGGUGCGAAGCGUGUUCAGGUGAACGUCUACCUGCAUCAGAUCCAGGGAUUCAGUCAAACUGGCAAGAUCCGGAUGCUGGUGUUUCCAGUGAUGUAUCUUAAUGAGAGCGUCGUUAUUGACGAGGAAUCUUCCAAGAAGCUGUAUGCGGUUGUUACCGAGGCUAAUGUGAUCGUCAACAUCCCCUUCAUAGUGAUCAGUGUAGGCAUCUUACUGGGCGUCAUCUUCAUCGUGUUCAUGUGCCGACAGCAGAUGCCACCGAGCACCGAGGCCGAGCGUCAGCCCCUGCUUUCAUCGUAAACUCCCCAGACAUCAUGAUGAGCCAACAUGCGUUUAGACAUUGAGCUUGAUUUCUUUUUCACACGGCCAGAGUCGGUUCAAGGAGCAUCGGUGCAUGCGGCAGACGACUCAAAGUGCAAAGUUUGUCUCAGGUCACCUGGCCUCGGAUCCGGAUCUUUCAAACGUGUUUUUAAUGCAUUUAAUGCUUCAGAUGAUUGAUUGAGUAUCGCAGAACCAAAUAGCGCAGGCGUGUCCAAAUCAGAAAAAGAGUUUCAUGUCCUAAACUGAAUUAUAUAUCAGAAAACACUAAUAGAGACAGCAGACGUGAUGCAACACGUUACACAUCAGUGCUCGAGAUAUUGAUGUCACCUGUACACAUCACAACGAUAUUAAUACACUUAUGCAAUUGCAAUGAGCUCAUCUGACAAAUAAACUGACAGCGGUGCCAACUCAUGCUGAUUUCAGGACUAAUGUAAUGUAGUCUGCUUCACGUGAAUCUGAAAAGUCAAUAAUGUGCCACACGCAUUUUAAAAUCACUAAAUCCUUUUUUAAAAUGACCAAAUAACUUGUUUUGGUGCCAUGAUGUAUUUGCGCUUGUUAUCUCCUCUGCCAUAUAAGUGAUUUUCUUAGAUGCAAACCAAGAUUUUGAUGGUACAUUGGCUCAAGAAUGUUUUUAGAGUCAGCUAAUAACACUUUUACAAUAUUUCUGAAAGAAAUGGACCAUAAUCACUAAUGUAAACUCUGUUUGCAACUCUACAAUUUCUUGAAUAACCAGACACAACCUUGUUUUCAGUGUUCAGUAAAUGCAGCAUCAAGUGUUUCAUCAGUAUUACCACAGCAUUGAGAAGAUUCGUUUUCUUGAACGUUUCAGUUUCCUGAAUAUAUUUAAUGUUCAUUUUCAUGCACUGAUCGGUUUAGUUUUUAUUUUUGUUUAUGUUUAAUAAACCUCAUGUCCUGCAUGGUUCAUUUCAUGUUUUAUUCUUGCAGGUGUUUGGUGGCAGUUCAUGGCUGGUUUGGUGUUUUUUUUAGGUCUGAAAAGGGAAGAUUUGAGGGUUGCUAAUUUUGUUUCAGUGAAGUACAGAAUAUCACUAAAGUACGUUGAUCUGAAACUGUGGUGUGAUUUCAGUUUCACUUUAGCUUGACAGUAAAUGUACUUUUCCCAGGAUGGAAAUCUUAAUUAAAUCUCAUGAUUAUGAUGAUUGUGAAAUGAUAAUGUGAACUGUGUUUAUGAAUUAAGACCCAGUGUUGAUGUUAGCUGACUGUUUUAGGUUUAAAAAAGGAAUGUUCAUGAUUGAUUCCAUUUUUAAAUUCAUUUUUUAUGCAUUUAUUUCAUCAUAACCAUGAGAUU